AAGACUAUACUUUCAGGGAUCAUUUCUAUAGUUCUUAACUAGGAAAUGUGUUUCUAAAGUGACGAGUCUCCCAAACCACGAUGAUGAGUCGUGAUACUCCUUUCUGAGCGUGAAUCAGAUAUAGAGAAAUGAUUAAGUUCAUAUGCUCUGUGUCAUUGAUGAACGUUCCAUGUUGUGAUCCACAACAGCGGAGGAAAGGAGUAUGAGCAGAGUGGU
Molecule: small nucleolar RNA, 216 nt
Organism: Danio aesculapii
Lineage: Eukaryota; Metazoa; Chordata; Actinopteri; Cypriniformes; Danionidae
Product: small nucleolar RNA U3
Exons: 1
Source: RefSeq, a predicted model, not a curated record